CUGUGCUCUCCUUCUGUGUCUUGUUCCCUCGUUAUCCCUCUGUGUAUUUAAGCCCUGUGUUUCUCUUUGUCAGUGUCGUAGUCCCCCUCAUGGCUGUGUUUCCAUGUGUGUUAGUUAUCCAUGUCCCAGUUUAGUUUUGUUAUAUUUUUUGUGCCAUCCUGCAAUAAAGCAGCUUUUUGAGUUUAAUUCCUACGUGGUGAGUUUUACGUUUGGGUCCUUCUCCUGCCUGCACACAGCCGAAACAUGACACCAGCAUGUUGAGAUUGACACCAAAGGGGUCACUGUACGAGAUGGACAGACAGAAAGACAUCUCACUGGAAAGGAUCUCGUCACUGCUGGAAGUGUCACAGUGAGUAUACGCAACAAUAAAAUAGACAUUGCAGCAGGAGACAUGCGCCUGGUUGUUUUAGUUCAUGAGAAGAACAGCAUUAAAUUUCUUUGGCCAGUUUUAAGACAGCAUCCCUCGGCCAACAACACUGAUGGACUUUUAGUUAAAAGUCAGUGGUUUAUGAGGAGGUACAACAAGUUCCACCUACAAAACUAAAGAUUUAAAAACCAGGAGAUCAAUGUUACUAAUGGCAAUGCCAGUGACUAUAGCAUUGCCUCUCCUCUCAUGAUGAACUGCUGGCUCACAUCUGCUGACUCUGCCUUGCAGAGACCACUGGCCGAUUUCGUUGUUCCACAACUUUAACUGGAAACUGUGAGAAAAUAUUUCAUUUGAGAAGAGACUACGGAAAAUACUUGCAACACCUGUUUCCAGCAUGAACAAAUAAACAUAUCUUGGAUUGUUUAAUAACUCACAAAUUUUAUUUUACUGAAAAAACUGUAUAAAGUCAGAAUAAUACAUCCAACUGUGUGAAUUUCAUUAAAAAUAAAGAUGAACAAAAAUGACCCAAAAUACACACAGUUGACCGUUAUAAUAAUAGUACACCUUGUACCUAAAUACAAUCUACAAGUUAAAAUCUUGUCAGUUUAAACUGAUUUGUCUAAAUGAAAACCAUUUGGAGUCUCUGUUAAGCACCACAUCAUUAGCAAAGAAAAUACUUAGAAAUGUAAAAUUACUAGAAUUCUCCUUUAGAAAGGUUCCAUAUUUGUAUAUUGUCAUUGUUUUACUAUUUUCUCUUAUGCAGUAGUUUUCUUUGUGCUUUGUAACAUCUGUGUUUAAAUCUAUUCCUUAUAAUGACAACUAGACAUGUGAUUGCUUUUGCUUUCUGAAUCAUCUGUUUUCUCAGCACCUUCCUGACCUCAUCAGUCUUAAAAAUAGAUUAAUUUUUGUUUGACAUAUACUUUAUAACAGCCACAUACUAGUUUCACAAUUAGUGCUAAGAUCUGCGACUUUAAUUUCUCAAAACAUUGUUCCAUGUUACAAAUUGGUGGAAACUGUUAGAUUUUACAUAAAUUGGUGCUGUGGGGAGUGUUUUAUGUAAGUGGGUGUUUGUUAUGUUUGGUGGUGAUAGAGGAGAGAAAUGAAAGAUUUUCCUUUUGAAAAAAUGUGUACAUAGUAAUACUGUAGUUUUGAGUUCAAACAGCAGUUUCCACUGCCUUGCACUAGUAGGA
This is a long non-coding RNA of Oreochromis aureus, 1557 nucleotides long. The record is from Ensembl. NCBI's taxonomy places the organism in Eukaryota, Metazoa, Chordata, Actinopteri, Cichliformes, Cichlidae.